GUUUAUGUAGCUUAACAUAAAGCAAAGCACUGAAAAUGCUUAGAUGGAUUCCAACCAAUCCCACAAACA
RNAcentral lists this transfer RNA (69 nucleotides) under Neophascogale lorentzii (long-clawed marsupial mouse). Its description in RNAcentral is "partial tRNA-Phe". It matches the Rfam family "tRNA". From Rfam's summary of the family: Transfer RNA (tRNA) molecules are approximately 80 nucleotides in length. The record is from RNAcentral. Lineage: Eukaryota; Metazoa; Chordata; Mammalia; Dasyuromorphia; Dasyuridae.